Molecule: RNA transcript, 1137 nt
Organism: Bombus pascuorum
Lineage: Eukaryota; Metazoa; Arthropoda; Insecta; Hymenoptera; Apidae
Exons: 2
Source: RefSeq, a predicted model, not a curated record
CCCUCACGGUACAUGUAACGUUUCGUUCAACUUUACGUUUUAAAUAUCGCGAUUAUCGAGUUACCGAUAUAUUUAUGCGUCGUGAUUAUCAAUUAGUGUCGUGAACGUUGGUCCAUCGUCGGUGGUCGGGUCGAUCCUCGUUGCGCUAUAUCUCUGAACGUGGUCGUGCGAUGAUUCGACGAGAGAGAGCCAGUAAGUUGGCGACGUGGUGCUAGAUUGUCGAUGCGGUACUCGCGACACCCUAUUCGCCGACCUUCGUGAUUCUCGCUCCUUCGGUGUCUCCGCGUCAUCGAUCCUCUUUGGGUGACAGUGAUCGAGUCUUCGUUUCGGAAGGAUGUAAACUGCUGGAAUUUCUGGCGGUGGAGAAUAUCGAGGAAGAAACGGCAGAAGAAGAGACGCGUGAAUUGGAUCUGCAAGGAAGAAGGUGUGAACUGAGAAAGAGAGAGAGAGAGAGAGAGAGUAGUGGCCUGUGGUUUUUCGGGCUUGCUCGAGAGCAAUCGUCGAGAGGUGAUCUAGCCGUCGGAUCGGGGUUCAGAUUCGAUCCCUGAUCGGCUGGGGAAUAAAACGAAGGAUCACAGUGUAUAUCUCGAAAUAUGAAUAAACACGAGAUCCUCCUAAAUCAAUCUGUACUUCGAGAAGAUCGAGAGUGAACGGAAAGUCUCGUAAUUAAGUGAAAGUCUAAAAGCACGCGAUUCUGUUGGAAGCUGUCUCUUCUUCGUAGUCUGGUUGAACGAGUGGCGAAAGAAUCGAAAGGCAUUCCAGAAGCGUAAAAAUAGGCACGGGCAUAUUUGUGUGAUGAUUCGAUGUACGACGGAAGAGAAUUCAAGGGUCAAGUUGCUGUUUUAUGAUUCCGUCCCGUUUCUCGAAAUAUCCACGUGAAAAGGAGGGAAGAAGGAACGAUCGCGGGCGUAGCGGUUCUUUUAAAGAACGAGCACGUGAAAGAUAAAGGUUGAGAAACUCGACGUCGAUUGCCUCAAAUGGAAGAACUAGCGUUUUCAUCCGAUCAACGUCAUCCGAUAUCUGGACGAUAAGUCAGCCAACUGAACGACCGCGAGAGCCGUCUCGUCGGAUUGUCCCCUCGAGAUCGAUCGAUUCGUCUAUUUUUCCUUGGUUUUUCGGUCGUUUGAAAGAUCGCGA